Molecule: long non-coding RNA, 1963 nt
Organism: Chelonoidis abingdonii (Abingdon island giant tortoise)
Lineage: Eukaryota; Metazoa; Chordata; Testudines; Testudinidae
Source: Ensembl
UGUUACCAAGUUUUAAAACAUCCUCACAACCGCUUGCUAGCACUGCUCCAGCAGUACGGGCUAUAGGAGCUCCCGGCUGGGAGGGGAUGUUGAUGUUCAGUAUGUUGAUCUGUUUAACCAAAGAUCAAAGCCAUACUUUUUGACCUUUCAGAUGGCUGGAUGAGCCAAGGUUGCUGCUGAAUUUUCACUGUGAUGUUAAAAAUGCUGGAGCUGUAUCAAUGGCAUUUCAGCAGUUUCCACUGGAAGGGAAACAAGCAACAGAAGGCAACCCGCUGUAGAGCAGUUCAGUUGGUGGAGACUCACCCUGUGUGGUUCAACUGGGUGUUUCUUCAGAGGACACCUUCCAUCAGAUGGCUCCUUUCACAAUGCUCCUGGUACAAAUACAUAGGUGUACAGCACGCACGCGUUUGAAAGUGGAACAAAAAGAUUGGCCUGAGGCUAACUCAGGACCCAGUCUGGUGAGGUGACAGGUGCCCUCAGUGUCCGUAAGGACCCAGCUCCUCCUCCUGUUCCAGUUAGAGGCAAAACUCUUGUUGAAGUCAUUGAAGUUGAGGGUGUGCUACACCUGGCAGGAUUAGGCCCCGAAGCAAUUAACUUGAGCUACCUCAUCUGAUCAUUUCACAAGGUUCUCCAGUUCUUAGUAAGAAGAACAGGAGUACUUGUGGCACCUUAGAGACUAAUUUGUUAGUCUCCAAGGUGCCACAAGUACUCCUUUUUGCGGAUACAUACACGGCUGCUACUCUGAAACCAGUUCUUAGUGUCCUUCCCAGAGGCUUAGCACUGUGCUGCACUUCAUGAACUGCUACCCGGUCAGCUGCCCAGAGUCCCCCCCAGCUGUACUGCAAGUGUCUUAAGCAGCGGCUACCCAUGACACUGGGCCAAAUUCUGACUUGCUUUCCACACCCUUGCAACACUGUGACAUCAGUGCAUAAGAGGAAAGUUAGAAUUUGGCCCACUGACUCCAUCAAGAUGUAGCUAACGUGCCACAUUGCUUUAAAAAAAUGAAGUUAGUUUAAACAAAUCUGAUUAAGUUUUGGGUACGAUAAUACACAUUUAAAGCCAAAGCCUGCACAAGGCAUAGGAACCUCUGUGUCUCCCAGUCCACUGUGUGACAGCAGGGGAGGCCCGAGGAGCACUACUGUAGGAGUGGUGCCUACACCACAGCACCAAGAGAUUGUGGUCUUACAGGUAGUGCUGUGUGGUCAGUGGAUGUGCUGGGACCAAGGGUGAGGAUGGUCUGUGGUAAGAAGAGGUACACACUGUCCUCAGCCCACUACCUCAUCUUGCUCGGCAUCCUCGGGGGGCUCUGGAAAACAUCAUGUGACUGGCACACUUCUGUGCCUUCCCCUAUCGCUCUGAGUAGGUAAGUGUUAGAUUUUGCCCUUGCUGCUGUCAGGUGUUGUGUGCAGGGGUCAUUCCAGGAAGCACAAGUUAGGAGAGCUUUCAGGAAGUUUGCUGAGGAUGGUGAAAGGUGAGCGCUUUUGCAAGUCUUCCAAGACACAGUAUGACACCACCAGUGGAUACAGGAUUAUGUUUUAAUCCAUGGGCGUUUGUGGUCUGAAACUCCUGCUAGGCCUUAUUCUUUCAUGCAUCAGUUUCACAUUGGUAUAAACCCAUUGACUUAAAUGGAUUCUCUCCUAAUUUUCACCAGUGUAAAUGAGAGCUAAAUCAGGUUUCUCUCGCCAGACUCUGAUGGGUAUUUAGGCCAAAUCCUCUGCUGUUGGAGUCAAUGGGGAUUUUGCAGCUGACCUCAGAGACACUGCAGGAUAUGGCAAUCGGUCUUACCCACUAAUAAUAAGGGUUCCCCCCUUCCCCUCCAUCUGCCUUAGACUUGGUUCUUUUUUAUUCAUUCAGACAUUUAGGCCUGUCCUCUGGAUAUGACUUCACAGCAUCAGCGAUUACACCGCUGACAUGGAUGACAUUUCCAAACAUGUAAUAAAGAGCCCAAAGUUCCUAUGUGACA